Micropterus salmoides (largemouth bass) is the source of this 1232-nucleotide long non-coding RNA. RefSeq lists it as uncharacterized. The transcript is spliced from 3 exons. The record is from RefSeq and is a predicted model, not a curated record. NCBI's taxonomy places the organism in Eukaryota, Metazoa, Chordata, Actinopteri, Centrarchiformes, Centrarchidae.
GAGCCCUGCAGCCUCAGGCAGAUUUUCUCUGAAUUUUUAGGAAGAGGUGAAAAAAAACCCUCACAGGGGCGCAGCCUGAAGAAGGAGAUCCAUGGUUAUAUAAGUCGGAGCACAGCAAGCUUUCUUCAGUUCUGCCUUGUACAUGCAGGGAUUGAAUUUUUUUUUUGUCUUGUAAGUUACAAAACGUGUUUGUGUGAGAUUUUAUGCUUUUGUCCUUCAUCACAACUCUGAAAGUAAAGGAGCGGAUCCAUCUGUCUGUAAAAAACAAAGCAAAAAAACAGGCAUCAUGGAAACUGACGGGAGUGAAGCACUGAAUAAAAAACACCAUGGCACGGUGCAAACCCAGCCCCGGAAACACAAGACAUCAAAGAGCGCCCAUGUAGGAAGCUGCUGUCUUAAGUGCUGCGCAAAGAGUGUGAGCGAGGAGUGCUGCAGCUCAUUUCUCAAUUGUAUCUUAAGUUGUUUGUGUGACAAUGACGACACAAACUAACCUCGGAUAGCGGGACCAGUUUUUCCAGGCUGGAUUUGUUCUCAGCAUCCUUCAACACUCUUCCUGAUAGUCUGGUUUUCCUCUUAUCUGACAUAUAAUCACUUUAAGUCAUUUUGUUCUUUUUUUUUUUUUUAUAAUCAAAUUCACUGUCUGUAUAAAAAACUAACUAGAAAGAUGCAGUGGAAAUCUGGAAAUAAAAUCUGAACACAAACUUGUCUUUUAGAAAUCUAUUAUACCUCCUUCAGGAGAGACCAGCCAGCAGAGAAUCUGCUGCUAACUGAUGAAGAUCUGAUCUCUUUUACGAUUGUUUUAUAUCCAGUCAGUCACACACAAAGAAAACCCACUACCUGUUACCUUUAUUAUCUGUCAAAACACUUGUGACUCUUGCACUGUAGGUUACAAAAGGUUAUCCCCUUCAUAUACAUGAACAAACUAAAAAGAACAUAGCUACUUGUGAUGUGUUUUAUUUCCAGUUCAUGCUUCUUCAGGCAGUUCAGAACUUGAUGAAUAACAUUUGCAGUUUCAUCACUAUCUUCAUAAAAGUCAAGUAACUUGCACCGCACUCUAUCAGAAACAGAAAAAUAUCUCAUGCACACAGGAAACAUUUUUGUUUCCCUUGUUUGAGCCGUUGGUGGCACAGGCUCACCUUCAGAUAGAUCAUUCAGGAUAUAUUGCAAAGUCUUUGAAUGUUCUGUUACAUUCCUUCACUUUAAGGCACUUUGAACUGUGUCCGUGUUGGAAA